UGACCGACUUUAGCCCAACCGGGCCGAAGUUCUGCCGAAGAGCCGGAAAAGCCGAAUUUAGACGAAAAGCCGAACCGAAACGAUUUUAGACCUAAGCCGAACCAAGCCUAAUUUAGCCGAGUUUAUUUAAACAGAACCGAACGACGCCGCAGCGCUCUGCCUGCACAGCGCCGGUGCAGACGGCAGGGGGCGGUGUAUAAAGGUGCUCAGAAAGCAUGCGUCCCUUAGAGUCCCACGGAAAGGUUCUCAGUGCGCUCUCUAUCAAGUGCUAUGAGUCUUGAUAAAUUGGAGAAGAGCCCAAGAGAAAUUUUUCAUCCCUUGAUAUAAAAGGGAUCGGUGAAUUUUAACUUUGGAGUCCUCUGUGCUAAGGAUGCUCAGCUUACCGAUGAUGAAAUGUUCAGUAAUGUAUUUGCUGCAGCUCUGCUUACCCAAGCUUUGGGUUCCUUCUGUCCCACUGGGAGUGGCCCAAUUUGGUUGCAUCUGGUGAAAUUCACCCUGAGACCUUACAGAACCAGCUCCAACUACGUGAGAGCCAUUUGCAGUUCUCUCCAGACGCCUGGAGAAUGGGCGACGUUUCUGAGGAUCCGGCGAGCGUGCUUCUGUCAAAACUCAGUCUGUGAAGUUUCUGGGGAAAACCCUUCUGUGUCCUGAAGGGUUCAAACUCUGGUGAGGAUCCAGUUAUCAGGUGCUCACCUGGAUGGUUCCGGCUCCCAAAGGGAAAGACUCUCGUAUCCUUGUCGUCGGUCUCGGUGCUGUCCAAGAAGAUACAGAGACUAAAAAAAUCAUAAGAAGCAAAAUAUGACUGCAGGGAAAAGAAGCUGGAGAGAACAAAAGGUGAUGUUGUUAUCCUUACCCUGUAUU
Molecule: long non-coding RNA, 861 nt
Organism: Melospiza georgiana
Lineage: Eukaryota; Metazoa; Chordata; Aves; Passeriformes; Passerellidae
Exons: 6
Source: RefSeq, a predicted model, not a curated record